GACGAACGCUGGCGGCGUGCUUAACACAUGCAAGUCGAACGGAAAGGCCCUGCUUGCAGGGUACUCGAGUGGCGAACGGGUGAGUAACACGUGGGUGAUCUGCCCUGCACUUCGGGAUAAGCCUGGGAAACUGGGUCUAAUACCGGAUAGGAGCCAUUUUUAGUGUGAUGGUUGGAAAGUUUUUUCGGUGUAGGAUGAGCUCGCGGCCUAUCAGCUUGUUGGUGGGGUAAUGGCCUACCAAGGCGGCGACGGGUAGCCGGCCUGAGAGGGUGGACGGCCACAUUGGGACUGAGAUACGGCCCAGACUCCUACGGGAGGCAGCAGUGGGGAAGAUUGCACAAUGGGCGCAAGCCUGAUGCAGCGACGCCGCGUGGGGGAUGUCGGCCUUCGGGUUGUAAACUCCUUUCGCUAGGGACGAAGCUUUUUGUGACGGUACCUAGAUAAGAAGCACCGGCUAACUACGUG
RNAcentral lists this ribosomal RNA (465 nucleotides) under uncultured bacterium. Its description in RNAcentral is "partial 16S ribosomal RNA". It matches the Rfam family "Bacterial small subunit ribosomal RNA", at positions 28 to 507 of the family's 1533-position model. The record is from RNAcentral.